GCCUCCGCGCCGGCGGCCUGUUUCCGGCGGAAACGCGGGCCAGAGCGGCCUCUAUUGUUGCUGUGUCAUAGGGGAGCGGCGGCGGCCCCUGGCGGCAGCGCCGGGAACGGCGGGUCGGCCUCGGCAGACACGCAGCAGGGCCCCCGCGGGGCGGCGCUGCGGGUCGAGGCCGGACCCGGUGGUGGGCGCCGGACGGUGCAGCGACGUGCCCGUGGGGCCGGCUGACGUGCACCCAGGGACGGGCGUCCGCAGCGGUUACCCACUCGGUUCUGCAUGGAGCCAGCUCUGCACACCCGCGGGAAGGCAGCCUGUCUGACUGGCAUUAUUCGGUGAGCUCUGAGAUGUCAGGGCCUGAGACAUGAAAUAGUCACGUGGUUGAAAAGGUAGGAGGCAGUCUCAUGGCACCCGAGCGGGGAAGAUGUCAGCUUCAUGUCACUUGGUGAUAAUUUGACAUACCUUUCUGCAAAGUACAAGAGGCUGCUCGGGGCAGGGGCGGAGGGAGGGCAGCGUGGGGGUUGCUCAACGCGGCAAGAGCGGAGUUCACACAGCCCCAAGGGUCCUUGGUCCUGAGUAAGGGGUCCAGGGGCUGCAUGUGGCUGGCCGGAUGGAGUGCGGCUGCCUUCCCCGAGGGCAGGGGUGCCUGUAAAAUGGAAAGCCCAAGAGUCCUCACAUUGUUCUCUCACACUCCACUUUGCUUCAUCUUUGACAGUUUUGAGGAAGUGAGCAGUAGUUCCUGCUUGGUAGCCCCCAGGCCUAUCCUCCAUCCCUGAGUCUCUGGCUUCCCACAGCAUACUUCACAAUUUACGGCUUGAGGUCUCCUUUCUAACACUAACAUUUGAUGGCCUGGAUGUACCUCUGCUUGCUUGCUGAAGGAGUUCAUGGUUUCUUCCAAGUACCUGUCAUUAUGAUCACAGCUACUGUAAACAUCUGUGUGCAAGCUCGUAUGGACAUAAUGCUCUCUGUUUAGGUAAAUACAAAAGUCUGGUUGCUGGGUUGUUG
Peromyscus leucopus (white-footed mouse) is the source of this 999-nucleotide long non-coding RNA. RefSeq lists it as uncharacterized. The transcript has 2 exons. The record is from RefSeq and is a predicted model, not a curated record. NCBI's taxonomy places the organism in Eukaryota, Metazoa, Chordata, Mammalia, Rodentia, Cricetidae.